UAAACGACUCUCGGCAACGGAUAUCUCGGCUCUCGCAUCGAUGAAGAACGUAGCGAAAUGCGAUACUUGGUGUGAAUUGCAGAAUCCCGUGAACCAUCGAGUCUUUGAACGCAAGUUGCGCCCGAAGCCGUUAGGCCGAGGGCACDUCUGCCUGGGCGUCACA
RNAcentral lists this ribosomal RNA (163 nucleotides) under Fragaria moschata. RNAcentral describes it as "5.8S ribosomal RNA". It matches the Rfam family "5.8S ribosomal RNA". From Rfam's summary of the family: 5.8S ribosomal RNA (5.8S rRNA) is a component of the large subunit of the eukaryotic ribosome. It is transcribed by RNA polymerase I as part of the 45S precursor that also contains 18S and 28S rRNA. Functionally, it is thought that 5.8S rRNA may be involved in ribosome translocation. Lineage: Eukaryota; Viridiplantae; Streptophyta; Magnoliopsida; Rosales; Rosaceae. The record is from RNAcentral.